GGCGUGCCUAACACAUGCAAGUCGAGCGAUGAAGUUCCUUCGGGAAUGGAUUAGCGGCGGACGGGUGAGUAACACGUGGGUAACCUGCCUCAUAGAGGGGAAUAGCCUUCCGAAAGGAAGAUUAAUACCGCAUAAUGUAGUACCUUCGCAUGAAGGAACUAUCAAAAGAGCAAUCUGCUAUGAGAUGGACCCGCGGCGCAUUAGCUAGUUGGUGAGGUAACGGCUCACCAAGGCGACGAUGCGUAGCCGACCUGAGAGGGUGAUCGGCCACAUUGGAACUGAGACACGGUCCAGACUCCUACGGGAGGCAGCAGUGGGGAAUAUUGCGCAAUGGGGGAAACCCUGACGCAGCAACGCCGCGUGAAUGAAGAAGGCCUUCGGGUUGUAAAGUUCUGUCUUAUGGGAAGAUAAUGACGGUACCAUAGGAGGAAGCCACGGCUAACUACGUGCCAGCAGCCGCGGUAAUACGUAAGUGGCAAGCGUUGUCCGGAUUUACUGGGCGUAAAGGAU
RNAcentral lists this ribosomal RNA (510 nucleotides) under Clostridium sp. EIB 1-2. RNAcentral's name for it is "bacterial SSU rRNA". It matches the Rfam family "Bacterial small subunit ribosomal RNA", at positions 41 to 568 of the family's 1533-position model. The record is from RNAcentral. Lineage: Bacteria; Bacillati; Bacillota; Clostridia; Eubacteriales; Clostridiaceae.